AACGUAGGACGCAAGCGUUAUCCGGAAUUAUUGGGCGUAAAGAGCUCGUAGGCGGUUUGUCGCGUCUGCCGUGAAAGUCCGGGGCUCAACUCCGGAUCUGCGGUGGGUACGGGCAGACUAGAGUGAUGUAGGGGAGACUGGAAUUCCUGGUGUAGCGGUGAAAUGCGCAGAUAUCAGGAGGAACACCGAUGGCGAAGGCAGGUCUCUGGGCAUUAACUGACGCUGAGGAGCGAAAGCAUGGGGAGCGAACAGG
This 253-nucleotide ribosomal RNA is filed under the name uncultured bacterium. Its description in RNAcentral is "partial 16S ribosomal RNA". It matches the Rfam family "Bacterial small subunit ribosomal RNA", at positions 524 to 776 of the family's 1533-position model. The record is from RNAcentral.